This 31-nucleotide non-coding RNA is filed under the name Mus musculus (house mouse). Lineage: Eukaryota; Metazoa; Chordata; Mammalia; Rodentia; Muridae. The record is from RNAcentral.
UUAUGCCUCAUAAAAACACAGGUCACAACCA